AGAGUUUGAUCAUGGCUCAGAUUGAACGCUGGCGGCAGGCCUAACACAUGCAAGUCGAGCGGUAGCACAGAGAGCUUGCUCUCGGGUGACGAGCGGCGGACGGGUGAGUAAUGUCUGGGAAACUGCCUGAUGGAGGGGGAUAACUACUGGAAACGGUAGCUAAUACCGCAUAACGUCGCAAGACCAAAGUGGGGGACCUUCGGGCCUCAUGCCAUCAGAUGUGCCCAGAUGGGAUUAGCUAGUAGGUGGGGUAACGGCUCACCUAGGCGACGAUCCCUAGCUGGUCUGAGAGGAUGACCAGCCACACUGGAACUGAGACACGGUCCAGACUCCUACGGAAGGCAGCAGUGGGGAAUAUUGCACAAUGGGCGCAAGCCUGAUGCAGCCAUGCCGCGUGUGUGAAGAAGGCCUUCGGGUUGUAAAGCACUUUCAGCGGGGAGGAAGGCGUUAAGGUUAAUAACCUUGGCGAUUGACGUUACCCGCAGAAGAAGCACCGGCUAACUCCGUGCCAGCAGCCGCGGUAAUACGGAGGGUGCAAGCGUUAAUCGGAAUUACUGGGCGUAAAGCGCACGCAGGCGGUCUGUCAAGUCGGAUGUGAAAUCCCCGGGCUCAACCUGGGAACUGCAUUCGAAACUGGCAGGCUAGAGUCUUGUAGAGGGGGGUAGAAUUCCAGGUGUAGCGGUGAAAUGCGUAGAGAUCUGGAGGAAUACCGGUGGCGAAGGCGGCCCCCUGGACAAAGACUGACGCUCAGGUGCGAAAGCGUGGGGAGCAAACAGGAUUAGAUACCCUGGUAGUCCACGCCGUAAACGAUGUCGAUUUGGAGGUUGUGCCCUUGAGGCGUGGCUUCCGGAGCUAACGCGUUAAAUCGACCGCCUGGGGAGUACGGCCGCAAGGUUAAAACUCAAAUGAAUUGACGGGGGCCCGCACAAGCGGUGGAGCAUGUGGUUUAAUUCGAUGCAACGCGAAGAACCUUACCUGGUCUUGACAUCCACAGAACUUUCCAGAGAUGGAUUGGUGCCUUCGGGAACUGUGAGACAGGUGCUGCAUGGCUGUCGUCAGCUCGUGUUGUGAAAUGUUGGGUUAAGUCCCGCAACGAGCGCAACCCUUAUCCUUUGUUGCCAGCGGUUCGGCCGGGAACUCAAAGGAGACUGCCAGUGAUAAACUGGAGGAAGGUGGGGAUGACGUCAAGUCAUCAUGGCCCUUACGACCAGGGCUACACACGUGCUACAAUGGCAUAUACAAAGAGAAGCGACCUCGCGAGAGCAAGCGGACCUCAUAAAGUAUGUCGUAGUCCGGAUUGGAGUCUGCAACUCGACUCCAUGAAGUCGGAAUCGCUAGUAAUCGUAGAUCAGAAUGCUACGGUGAAUACGUUCCCGGGCCUUGUACACACCGCCCGUCACACCAUGGGAGUGGGUUGCAAAAGAAGUAGGUAGCUUAACCUUCGGGAGGGCGCUUACCACUUUGUGAUUCAUGACUGGGGUGAAGUCGUAACAAGGUAACCGUAGGGGAACCUGCGGUUGGAUCACCU
This 1528-nucleotide ribosomal RNA is filed under the name Klebsiella pneumoniae. Its description in RNAcentral is "bacterial SSU rRNA". It matches the Rfam family "Bacterial small subunit ribosomal RNA". The record is from RNAcentral. Lineage: Bacteria; Pseudomonadati; Pseudomonadota; Gammaproteobacteria; Enterobacterales; Enterobacteriaceae.